This 524-nucleotide ribosomal RNA is filed under the name uncultured bacterium. RNAcentral's name for it is "partial 16S ribosomal RNA". It matches the Rfam family "Bacterial small subunit ribosomal RNA", at positions 28 to 523 of the family's 1533-position model. The record is from RNAcentral.
GACGAACGCUGGCGGCGUGCCUAAUACAAGCAAGUCGAACGAAGCUGUUUUAACUGGUGCUUGCACCGACUUAAACAACUGAGUGGCGAACGGGUGAGUAACACGUGGGUAACCUGCCCCAAAGCGGGGGAUAACAUUUGGAAACAGAUGCUAAUACCGCAUAACCACAGAAACCACAUGGUUUCUGUGUCAAAGAUGGUUUCGGCUAUCACUUUGGGAUGGACCCGCGGCGUAUUAGCUAGUUGGUAAGGUAAUGGCUUACCAAGGCAAUGAUACGUAGCUGAAAUGAGAAGUUGAUCGGCCACAUUGGGACUGAGACACGGCCCAAACUCCUACGGGAGGCAGCAGUAGGGAAUCUUCCACAAUGGACGAAAGUCUGAUGGAGCAACGCCGCGUGAGUGAAGAAGGUUUUCGGAUCGUAAAACUCUGUUGUCAGAGAAGAACGUGUGCGAGAGUAACUGCUCGUGCAGUGACGGUAUCUGGCCAGAAAGCCACGGCUAACUACGUGCCAGCCGCCGCGGUAA